This 71-nucleotide transfer RNA is filed under the name Photobacterium jeanii. It matches the Rfam family "tRNA". From Rfam's summary of the family: Transfer RNA (tRNA) molecules are approximately 80 nucleotides in length. Lineage: Bacteria; Pseudomonadati; Pseudomonadota; Gammaproteobacteria; Vibrionales; Vibrionaceae. The record is from Rfam by way of RNAcentral.
CGACUUAGCUCAGUAGGUAGAGCAACUGACUUGUAAUCAGUAGGUCACCAGUUCGACUCCGGUAGUCGGCA